Molecule: ribosomal RNA, 206 nt
Filed under: uncultured bacterium
Lineage: Bacteria
Description: partial 16S ribosomal RNA
Rfam family: Bacterial small subunit ribosomal RNA
Source: RNAcentral
UGCAGUCUGCAACUCGACUGCACGAAGCUGGAAUCGCUAGUAAUCGCGGAUCAGCACGCCGCGGUGAAUACGUUCCCGGGCCUUGUACACACCGCCCGUCACACCAUGGAAGUCUGCAAUGCCCGAAGCCGGUGGCCUAACCACUUAUGUGGAAGGAGCCGUCUAAGGCAGGGCAGAUGACUGGGGUGAAGUCGUAACAAGGUACC